Molecule: long non-coding RNA, 240 nt
Organism: Cyphomyrmex costatus
Lineage: Eukaryota; Metazoa; Arthropoda; Insecta; Hymenoptera; Formicidae
Exons: 3
Source: RefSeq, a predicted model, not a curated record
GCCGACACAUGUUGCUUAACAUUCGAUGGAAGUCGUAGAAGUAUAUCAGUCGCGGAAUGUUCGCCAUUAUCCACGGUACGACUGAAACUCGGGGAGCAAAGGGGCACAUUCGUAUGCUAGGGGAGCGUUGCAGCCCGCUGCUAUUGGCUGAGAAAACGCUUUUACAAGCUGCAGCGAGAGGCCGUCGUCCAGUAUCUUUCGCCAACGAACGAGCUCUUAACCGUAGAUACGAAACACCCG